This 301-nucleotide ribosomal RNA is filed under the name uncultured bacterium. RNAcentral's name for it is "partial 16S ribosomal RNA". It matches the Rfam family "Bacterial small subunit ribosomal RNA", at positions 509 to 807 of the family's 1533-position model. The record is from RNAcentral.
CAGCCGCCACGGGAAUACGAAGGGUGCAAGCGUUACUCGGAAUUACUGGGCGUAAAGCGUGCGUAGGUGGUGGUUUAAGUCCGUUGUGAAAGCCUUGGGCUCAACCUGGGAAUUGCAGUGGAUACUGGAUCACUAGAGUGUGGUAGAGGAUAGUGGAAUUUCCGGUGUAGCAGUGAAAUGCGUAGAGAUCGGAAGGAACAUCUGUGGCGAAGGCGACUAUCUGGGCCAACACUGACACUGAGGCACGAAAGCGUGGGGAGCAAACAGGAUUAGAUACCCGCGUAGUCCCUGUCUCUUAUAC